GGCGUGGUAGCUCAGUUGGUUAGAGCGUCGGAUUCAUAACCCGGAGGUCGGCGGUUCAAUCCCGCCCCACGCUACAA
This 77-nucleotide transfer RNA is filed under the name Balneolaceae bacterium. RNAcentral's name for it is "tRNA-Met". It matches the Rfam family "tRNA". From Rfam's summary of the family: Transfer RNA (tRNA) molecules are approximately 80 nucleotides in length. Their secondary structure includes four short double-helical elements and three loops (D, anti-codon, and T loops). Lineage: Bacteria; Pseudomonadati; Balneolota; Balneolia; Balneolales; Balneolaceae. The record is from RNAcentral.